This 990-nucleotide ribosomal RNA is filed under the name Triticum aestivum (bread wheat). RNAcentral describes it as "partial small subunit ribosomal RNA". Lineage: Eukaryota; Viridiplantae; Streptophyta; Magnoliopsida; Poales; Poaceae. The record is from RNAcentral.
AUGCCGGAGUACUGCGUGACCGGCGGGACGGGGUUCAUCGCGUCGCACCUGAUCCGGGCGCUGCUCGCCGCCGGGCACACGGUGCGCGCCACGGUGAGGGACCCGAGCGACGAGGCCAAGGUCGGGUUCCUGUGGGACCUGGAGGGCGCCGACGAGCGGCUGCAGCUGCUGCGCGCCGACCUGCUCGUGGAGGGCUCCUUCGACGCGGCCGUCAGCGGCGUGGACGGCGUCUUCCACGCCGCCUCCCCCGUCGUCGUCAGCUACGAGGACGGCAAGGACGCGCAGGAGAAGCUGGUGGACCCGAUCGUGAAGGGCGCGGGCAACGUGCUCCGCUCCUGCGCCCGGGCCGCGGUCCCGCCGCGCCGCGUGGUGUUCACCUCCUCCUGCUCCUGCGUGCGGUACCGGCACCACCACGUGCACGGCGGCGCCCCGCCGACGCUGAACGAGUCCCACUGGAGCGACGCCGACUACUGCCGGACGUACGGGCUGUGGUACGCGUACGCCAAGACGGUGGCGGAGAAGGAGGCGUGGCGGCUGGCGACGGAGCACGGGCUGGACCUGGUGGUGGUGAACCCGUCGUUCGUGAUCGGGCCGGUGCUGGGCCGGGCGGCGCCCACGAGCACCGCACUGGUGGUGCUGGCGCUGCUGAAGGGCGACCUGGGCAAGUACCCGAACACGACCAUCGGGUUCGUGCACGUGGACGACGUGGUGCUGGGGCACGUCCUGGCCAUGGAGGACGGCAGGGCGUCCGGCAGGCUCAUCUGCUCCGGCGACGUCGCGCACUGGUCCGAGGUGCUCAGGUCGCUCCGGGAGCGGUACCCGCAGUACCCCAUCCCCACAGAGUGCAGCGGCGGGAAGGGGGACGACAGGGCGCACAAGAUGGACACGAGCAAGAUGGAGGCGUUGGGGUUCCCUCCAUUCCUCUCCAUCCAGCAGAUGUUCGACGACUGCAUCAAGAGCUUCCAGGACAAGGGUCUUCUUCUUCCUUGA